UUGGAGGGCAAGUCUGGUGCCAGCAGCCGCGGUAAUUCCAGCUCCAAUAGCGUAUAUUAAAGUUGUUGCAGUUAAAAAGCUCGUAGUUGAAUUUCGAGACCGGUCUACUGGUCGUGCUUUUGUACGUACUGGUUUUAUUGGUUUCUCCUUUCUGACAAACUAUAAUGCCAUUAAUUUGGUGUUAUGGGGAAUCAGGACUGUUACUUUGAAAAAAUUAGAGUGUUUAAAGCAGGCUAACGCUUGAAUACAUUAGCAUGGAAUAACGGAAUAGGACGUUUGAUUCUAUUUUGUUGGUUUCUAGGAUCGACGUAAUGAUUAAUAGGGAUAGUCGGGGGCAUUAGUAUUCAAUUGUCAGAGGUGAAAUUCUUGGAUUUAUUGAAGACUAACUACUGCGAAAGCAUUUGCCAAGGAUGUUUUCAUUAAUCAAGAACGAAAGUUAGGGGAUCGAAGACGAUCAGAUACCGUCGUAGUCUUAACCAUAAACUAUGCCGACUAGGGAUCGGAUGAUGUUAAUUUUUUAAUGACUCAUUCGGCGCCUUACGGGAAAC
Molecule: ribosomal RNA, 548 nt
Filed under: uncultured Glomeromycotina
Lineage: Eukaryota; Fungi; Glomeromycota
Description: SSU rRNA
Rfam family: Eukaryotic small subunit ribosomal RNA
Source: RNAcentral